UUGGUGGAGAGUAUCAACGUUGGCUAAGAUUGGAUCUCUUUCGGAUCUGGUUCUGAUAAGUUCCGACUUUGGAACCAAAAGAGUAGGACUCAUAGGAUAUGCGGGCAAGUUGACGCUCAGAAAUCCACCUCAAUUCUCAAGUCGACAAAAACCCAUUUUCAAAAAUUGCUUACAAAAUUUAACAAAGGUAAAUCGUGAUUUACAAGUCGAAUUAAUUUUAGAACCACGAGUAGUCAACAUUAAAUGAGAGAAAAGCAAUGGAAUAGUUAGAGAAAAUUGAAAUAAAUGUGAUCUGAAUCUGUUUAAGCUAACAGAUUGUUUUUUCACUGGUUCAAUUCGAGUCCGUCAAUUCAAGGUUAUUCAAAAAUGAGAGAAAAGCAAUGGAAUAGUUAGAGAAAAUUGAAAUAAAUGUGACCUAAAUCUGUUUAAGCUAACAGAUUGUUUUUUCACUGGUUCAAUUCGAGUCCGUCAAUUCAAGGUUAUUCAAAUUGAUUUAGCGUUCGGUCUCGGUUCAUAGUCAAGUAAAUAUUGUAGACAUCUGGGAUAUGUUCUUGAGAUUUUGAUUUGUUUUUUAAGACUGAUUUUUCCAUUAAAAACAUGAUAACUCAAAGGGUUUCUGGAUCGAGAAUGGUUUUGAAUCGAGAGAGAAAGAGUGGACGGACAUGUUCUAGGUGCAAUAGGAGCAAACAAAGUUUGGCGCUUUUAGCGAUUAUAAAAAAGAGUUCUAGUUUUGCUAAUAAGAAAAGGUUUUCCGCGUGUCGCUCCCGCCGUUUUCAGUUUUCAUCUUCCUCGUAGUUUUCUUUUUGUUUCUUAGGUGAAUCGAAUGGAAUUAUCCCAUUCGAUCUAGCCGCAUUGCCGCAUGCACUGAAUUAUUCAAUAAUUUCUUCCAUUAAUUUUGUAUCGUCUCCAAUUUCCAUGACCGUUCCAUCUGUGUCCUCCCGCCAUCGUUUUUUCCGUCGUUUCCCUUUUAUGUUCUCGCAUUUGCAUAAACCCUAAUCCUGGAAAACCGGACAUUUCUAGAAGCCCAAAGGAAGGUGCCGGAAACCUCACCGUAGAAGACUCCGGAUCACUGCGACCGUUCCCCUUGCUCGCCGGAGGGGAUCUGCUAGCGUCGGCAGCAGAUCAAGGGAAGGAAUCUAAAGAAUCGGCGAAGCGUCAAAGAGUUUCUCAAUCGUAGAAGGCGUGCAGAUGACGGAGGAAAAGCGGCUUCUCAGCAUGCGGCCAGGCGGUGGCGCCGAGAGUCAUCAGACUACUUUACCGUCUUCAUCCUCCCGAUCAUCGCGGUUGCCCGGCCUCGGAAAGUGAAUUUCAGGUGGAUCCGGAACCUGUAUCUGCGAGUAGUUACGCUGUGACGAACGUAUCGGAAUCAGUGUCUCGCUUUCCUUGUUCUUCUUUUGCUUUUCCGUUUCCGGGAAAAAUGCUCGUUGAGACCUCAAUAGUGAUCCUAAUAUUAAAUAACCACCUGUUAUUUCUGAAUUUUCUAAUAGCCACUACUUUUCUAACAACUUUCAAAUACGAGGCGGAGGUAACGGCAUACAGUCUUUCUUUGCGGACGACUCUCAAAGAACUUCUCUUAUAUCAAAAACAUGUUAUUCUAGUGAACGAAGAAAAACUGAGGGAGGGAGAAAACUGUCAUUUCGUUCAGUUUGACAAAGAUGUUAACCUGUUUUCUUUCAGGAGACAACUUGCAAAUACAGACAUCAGUUUACAGUGCACGGUUUUGAAAAGUAUUUUGUCCAAAUCCUCCACGUUAUUUUUAUCUUUUUAUGAACUAGAAAAAAAAAAACUGCGGAAAAUAGUGAAAUUCAUUUUAUUUUACUUUUGAUGCACAAAAAUCUCAACCUAUUUUCAAAUGCUUCCAUAAGAUCUACCAUGUUCCUUAUGGGGUGGGUGUUUGAUAAUAGAACAUAGUGUUCCAUGGACGUGUUCCUGGAGCACAUUCUUAGGACACAUUCAUGCAACACCACAUGUUCCAUGGAUGUGUCUCAAAGAUUGAGACACGUUUUGGAGCACAUCGCUGUGUUCCAAAGAAGGAAAUGUUCCUGUUACCAGACGCCCUCGAGAGUUUCUGGACGGGGAGGCGCUGAAUAAGUAUUGUAUGGCCUCAUCAGUAAUCGGGAGUCUACCCCACUCCAUGGAAACAACCGCCGUGUGAUCUAUAUGGGACCAUUGAUCCUUUUUCACCUAGGGGGACCAUAAACCAUUGCGAAAUUUGAUGUUUCAUAGAGAGGAAAGAAUCGACCAAGUACUGGAAUGGAAUUGGUAUUUGUCCCAUAUGACAGGCCUUACGUUUUUGGAACUUGUUGGAAGGAGAUGAAGACUUUGAACCCAUGAAUAAUGGUAGAUCUCUUGAGUCUACCUCCUAGUCUCGAACAAAUGCAUUAAAGAGCUUGUCAAAGAUAACUACAUCUGAUGCAGUUAUAGACACCAUAUUCGAAUUAGAGUCACAGUCGGUUGGGCUGUGCAAUCAUGCAAGUUUCUGUUUUUUAUCUGCAACCAGAUUCAGAUACCUACGGAUCUGUUAAAUCUGGCAAAAAAAUGCAUACUGAAUCCAAAUUCGUUUUUAAUCAGACUUAGACUUUCCUACCAAAUCUUAUUAAUUGGAUUUAGAUGCUAAUCAGAUAAACUGUUCUAGCGGGAGGGAGUACUUGAGAGAAUUCUUUUUCGAAGGAACACGGGGGACUGGGAGUACAUGAAAAUACCAUAUUAGCCGUAAAGCUUACAAUCUAAACGCACACGGGGGAAUGGGAGAAACAAGUAUGAGUCAGUAAGUGCAGCAUGUUCGAAAAAUUGGAUGGCUUCAUUCGUCACUGAAAGAGCUUUUCUAGCAGGUCCAGACUUCACUGUUUCCGAAUCUUGUAUCUUUAAUACUUAAACUCUCAAUGCAUAAAACGAUUCUCUCUCUCCCUCUCCCUCUCUUUCUCUCCCCACAUGCUCUCCACAUGACAAGUGUAUCUAGUAUCUAAUGCUUUUACGAGGUGUUUAUAAAGUUGGGUUACCGCCGCUGAUUUUAGGAGCACGGCAGCAUUGAAUGCCAUGGACGAGGAGUAUAACAGUUUGGGAGCAAGGCCCCAAGCGGAAAAUCCAAUCGUCGUGGCUGGAGCCUUUGGAAGACGUUCGUGAAGACCUCAAGAUGCAUUGGCAGUUUGAAGAGGCUCGGAGGAAACUUUUCCCCAAUUAUUCAAGGAACGAUCCUGACUGUCAAUGAUUGACGAAAGACAAAACCUUCUGACGUUGGAGAUGGACGGGGAAUGUUUCAAUGGCUCAAGGAUGUAAACAUGACUUCUGCCCAUCUGAUUUUCGAAGCUACGAACUAUUCUUUUCCUCCCAAUAUAAGAACAGAACUUCCAGUAGAUUGACAAUUUUCUGCCCUUCUAGCUGGGGGGGCUGAAAGUGACUGCAAUGGCACGAAUGUGAAAGACCAUUUCAAGACAUGGGUUAAUUUUGGCAUUUCGGUGAUGUGGGAGGCAGCUUUCUCAAGAGGUUCGUGGGUUUCCGACCACAGAUUGGUGGGCGAUCAACUUUGUGGUGUCGCAUUCUUUUCUUUUCAAGGACAAUCCUUCUUGAGGCGAAGAAUAUGUCAGGUUUGGUGGGUGCCAAAUCGAAGGUUAAGAUAACAGCGCGUGUUGCCAUGGUUUCUUGUCACUAUCUUUUUGAUAUUUUCUACAGUGACCGAGAGGCAUGUGCUGGGGAAAUGGACUCAUGAGAUUUUUUUUUUCCGUUUAGAAUUUCUUAUUUUGAUGAGCAGGAAAGCAAGGACGAAGAUUUCAGUUUUUUUUUCCUUUUCCUGACUGACUCUGAAAAGGGGAACCUUUUUCUUUUCUCGGGGGAGUUCUGAAAUAAACUUUUGUUUCUGA
This is an RNA transcript of Nymphaea colorata (pocket water lily), 3857 nucleotides long. RefSeq lists it as uncharacterized. The record is from RefSeq and is a predicted model, not a curated record. The transcript is spliced from 3 exons. NCBI's taxonomy places the organism in Eukaryota, Viridiplantae, Streptophyta, Magnoliopsida, Nymphaeales, Nymphaeaceae.